RNAcentral lists this ribosomal RNA (253 nucleotides) under uncultured bacterium. RNAcentral describes it as "partial 16S ribosomal RNA". It matches the Rfam family "Bacterial small subunit ribosomal RNA", at positions 524 to 776 of the family's 1533-position model. The record is from RNAcentral.
GACAGAGGGUGCAAACGUUGUUCGGAAUUACUGGGCGUAAAGCGCGUGUAGGCGGCCCUGCAAGUCGGGUGUGAAAUCCCAUGGCUCAACCAUGGAAGUGCACUCGAAACUGCAGGGCUAGAGUCCUGGAGAGGAAGGUGGAAUGCUUGGUGUAGAGGUGAAAUUCGUAGAUAUCAAGCGGAACACCGGUGGUGAAGGCGGCCUUCUGGACAGUGACUGACGCUGAGACGCGAAAGCGUGGGGAGCAAACAGG